Pocillopora verrucosa is the source of this 1921-nucleotide long non-coding RNA. RefSeq lists it as uncharacterized. The record is from RefSeq and is a predicted model, not a curated record. Lineage: Eukaryota; Metazoa; Cnidaria; Anthozoa; Scleractinia; Pocilloporidae.
GUUUUUAAUCUGAGCCAGCCCUUUCUUAAACCACAACUAAUGGCGGGGCUAUUCGUUGAAUUACGAGCCAAAUGAAGCGCUCAGGAUCACUCAAGCUUGUUAUAAAAGGCAUCUUAGAAAUGGAGUAAAAAAAAAGGACAACGAGGCACAUGACACAAAAGCACCAAUGCUUCAUUCUUAAGAGGGAUGUCCCGUCAACCUUCACCUUCCCAUGAGCAGGAUUCAAGUCAAAAAGCCAUGAUUGCUCAUCAAGACAAUUUAACAGACGCUCUUAAUUCGCUGGGCCUCACUAAAGGUGCCACGAACCUAUCUCCAGAGGCAAAGAGACACCAUGAAAAUGUUGCUCUUUACAUGUUCAUCGGCCUUGUGUCCGCUUUCUUGUUCAUCGCGACGAUCAUCAUCACAGUUGAACUGUACCGGAGUGGACGAUGCGCGAAAAGUUUAAAACGAAAGGGUGAUAAGGGAAGAACUAGGCUUGAAAAUGAAGAUGAUGACGAUGAGGGUGAUUAUUCGGAAAUAGAGAUGAACGACUUAUAGUGAUAAAUGUAUAUGGAUCCAAAGUGGGUUUCCUGCGGAAGGAAGUAAUUCAGGUGUGAUAACGGGAAUGCGAUCGACGUAAUGGGUACGGGGCCGUGCGGUGACCAAUUUGUUGCAAGGUUUUGCAAAGUGGACUGACGGUGAAGGUGUUUAUUCGGAAAUCUAGAUGAUUGACUUGUUGUGACAAAUAGAACCAGCAUAAGUAUCAGUGCUUUGCUUUACGAUCAGUGCAACGAGUGAGAGUCUCUGUAGCAGGCCAGCUGAAGCUCCUCAAUGCAAUGUUUUGCCCAGUGACCUGGGAGCAAAUAUGAGAUAUAAAAUGUCGAUCUUCAAACCAAAUACUGAUCUGUACACUUUCAGUCUUUUCCUUCUCGUUGCCUUCAUCGUUUCAAUAAGGGCCCGGUUAAACAAAGUAGUGUUUGUACCAAAUCAGCAUCAACAUUUGAAAGCAAAGAUGUCAUCGAUCACAUUGAAAACAGGGAAUGCUUGAAAAGGCCUCUUGUUUGGAAAAAGUGUAUCUUCGAUGGCCUGAUUAGUUCCCGCACAUGCGUAAAGCAAUGCCUUUCAACUAAGGCAGCCAAGGCAAAGAAUCGUAUCGUGAUCCAAACUUAAAACAAAUAUUUUUAAUUCCUAAGUAAACUAAGGCUUCAGGAUGUGAGUAUUACACUCUGGCGCCGAUGUUAGGCAAUACAGGAAAACUAAAGAGGUCUGGGUCAUUUUUGGAGAGCCAAUUUUCUAAAUAUUUUGCUAGCGACGCAAAGCUGACCUGGCAGACAGAUAAAACAAAACGAAUUAGUACGAGUACGUCUGAUACAAAACUGUUUUCAUUGUAGUAUCAGCGUAAGCUAACGAAAGGCCCCCCUUGUCAAAUCAACAAAACGUAGAAAUUAAAUCGUUGUACUGUAAUAGCUUUGCACGCGCCAUAAAUAGAUCCCUCUCAGAGAAGAAUAGUCUGGUAGUCUAAUUUUAUUUUUGGAACGAGUCAAACUGGCGGUUCUCAGCAGUUGUUUUCCGGUGAUUGAAUUGAUACGGUGAUCAGAUUAAUUCAAUCAGUUCGAUAUAAACAGCAUUCAGAAUGCAAUAUCCCCUCGUAUUGGUAGUUUCAGUGGGAUUGUAAUAUACAUCUGCGUACUUCCAACAUCAGCCGCCUUGCCUGCGUCGAACGUGCAGGUUCAAGAGAAGGGGUCACUAAGAGUCUGCUGAUAAUCUCUGUUAUAGACUUGUCACAGAUCUAGAGCAUUGAUCAACAACUCUCAAAGAAUGGUUUUUGGCCGACGAUUCAAAUAAAGACAGGACCGCACAGACGUCGAACGUUCUCAACAAGAUAUUGACCAUAAAAACGAUCUAUUUACAUUCAGGAAAUUAUAUUGUUACAUUUUUUAAA